RNAcentral lists this ribosomal RNA (305 nucleotides) under uncultured bacterium. RNAcentral's name for it is "partial 16S ribosomal RNA". It matches the Rfam family "Bacterial small subunit ribosomal RNA", at positions 505 to 809 of the family's 1533-position model. The record is from RNAcentral.
ACAGCAGUCGCCACGGGAAUACAGAGGGUGCGAGCGUUAAUCGGAUUUACUGGGCGUAAAGCGUGCGUAGGCGGCUUCUUAAGUCGGAUGUGAAAUCCCUGAGCUUAACUUAGGAAUUGCAUUCGAUACUGGGAAGCUAGAGUAUGGGAGAGGAUGGUAGAAUUCCAGGUGUAGCGGUGAAAUGCGUAGAGAUCUGGAGGAAUACCGAUGGCGAAGGCAGCCAUCUGGCCUAAUACUGACGCUGAGGUACGAAAGCAUGGGGAGCAAACAGGAUUAGAUACCCCCGUAGUCCCUGUCUCUUAUCC